RNAcentral lists this ribosomal RNA (155 nucleotides) under uncultured soil bacterium. RNAcentral describes it as "partial 16S ribosomal RNA". It matches the Rfam family "Bacterial small subunit ribosomal RNA", at positions 26 to 179 of the family's 1533-position model. The record is from RNAcentral.
AGAUUGAACGCUGGCGGCAUGCUUUACACAUGCAAGUCGAGCGGCAGCGCGGGGGCAACCCUGGCGGCGAGCGGCGAACGGGUGAGGAACACAUCGGAACGUGCCCCGGAGUGGGGGAUAACCGCCGCGAAAGCGGCGCUAAUACCGCAUAUGCU